RNAcentral lists this small nucleolar RNA (198 nucleotides) under Saccharomyces arboricola H-6. Its description in RNAcentral is "Small nucleolar RNA snR190". It matches the Rfam family "Small nucleolar RNA snR190". Lineage: Eukaryota; Fungi; Ascomycota; Saccharomycetes; Saccharomycetales; Saccharomycetaceae. The record is from Rfam by way of RNAcentral.
GGCCCUGAUGAUAACGGUGUCUCUUCUUUCCUCGUCCGAUUCGACCAUGACGACAAGGGAUUUUAUCUCGUUCUCUUAAUGCAAGUGGUUUUGAAAAAGGAAGUAUUGCUUCGGUGACGUUUUCUUUUUCUUAACCAUUUGUGUUUGCAAACGGGAACUUUUCUUGCCAGUGUUAUACAACACAUGCAGAUCUGAGCC